This 458-nucleotide ribosomal RNA is filed under the name Veillonella parvula. RNAcentral describes it as "bacterial SSU rRNA". It matches the Rfam family "Bacterial small subunit ribosomal RNA", at positions 28 to 463 of the family's 1533-position model. The record is from RNAcentral. Lineage: Bacteria; Bacillati; Bacillota; Negativicutes; Veillonellales; Veillonellaceae.
GACGAACGCUGGCGGCGUGCUUAACACAUGCAAGUCGAACGAAGAGCGACGGAAGCUUGCUUCUAUCAAUCUUAGUGGCGAACGGGUGAGUAACGCGUAAUCAACCUGCCCUUCAGAGGGGGACAACAGUUGGAAACGACUGCUAAUACCGCAUACGAUCUAAUCUCGGCAUCGAGGAUGGAUGAAAGGUGGCCUCUACAUGUAAGCUAUCACUGAAGGAGGGGAUUGCGUCUGAUUAGCUAGUUGGAGGGGUAACGGCCCACCAAGGCGAUGAUCAGUAGCCGGUCUGAGAGGAUGAACGGCCACAUUGGGACUGAGACACGGCCCAGACUCCUACGGGAGGCAGCAGUGGGGAAUCUUCCGCAAUGGACGAAAGUCUGACGGAGCAACGCCGCGUGAGUGAUGACGGCCUUCGGGUUGUAAAGCUCUGUUAAUCGGGACGAAAGGCCUUCUUGCGA